UACGUAGGGACCAAGCGUUGUUCGGAUUUACUGGGCGUAAAGGGCGCGUAGGCGGCAAUUCAAGUCAGCUGUGAAAUCUCUGGGCUUAACCCAGAACGGCCAGCUGAUACUGCUUUGCUAGAGUGCAGAAGGGGCAAUCGGAAUUCUUGGUGUAGCGGUGAAAUGCGUAGAUAUCAAGAGGAACACCUGAGGUGAAGACGGGUUGCUGGGCUGACACUGACGCUGAGGCGCGGAAAGCCAGGGGGAGCAAAACGGGG
RNAcentral lists this ribosomal RNA (257 nucleotides) under uncultured bacterium. RNAcentral's name for it is "partial 16S ribosomal RNA". It matches the Rfam family "Bacterial small subunit ribosomal RNA", at positions 524 to 778 of the family's 1533-position model. The record is from RNAcentral.